CGUCUAAGACAGCGUAAACGCAUUGCGCAAAUAGAGCAGAGCUUACCGUCUUUUUCUAUUAGAGUCGCGAGCUUGGCUUGUUGUAGUCGGUCCGUGAAGAGAGAACUUGCUGCUUACUUGCUAUACGCCACGCGUUCUUGCACGGCUCGUUCUCGAGCCCUGCUUCUCCCGUCCCCCUCUCCUUUUUACUUUAUCGUCCAAACAAAGGCCGUAUGGAGUAUAGCCAAGUGGUAAGGCAUCGGUUUUUGGUACCGGCAUGCAAAGGUUCGAAUCCUUUUACUCCAGAUUAUGAACACCCGAUCGGAUCUGUCAAGAACGAGCUGACGACUACAGGGGAAGCGCCUGAUUGCAGUCCCUGAGCCCAGCCCCCGGAGCCGGAGCCGGAGGGGAGGAAUGCAUGGUUCCCUGGCGCUUCAUGGGACGGGCGUUCGCAGUCCCCCUCCCUCUAAUCUAACCCUCCCCCGCUCCCCAUACGAAUUUGAACUACGAUCCCCUGGAGC
Non-coding RNA from Lupinus albus (white lupine), 500 nucleotides. The record is from the annotation of a GenBank genome assembly. Lineage: Eukaryota; Viridiplantae; Streptophyta; Magnoliopsida; Fabales; Fabaceae.